UGUGAACAUACCAAUUGUUGCCUCGGCGGAUCAGCCCGCUCCCGGUAAAACGGGACGGCCCGCCAGAGGACCCCUAAACUCUGUUUCUAUAUGUAACUUCUGAGUAAAACCAUAAAUAAAUCAAAACUUUCAACAACGGAUCUCUUGGUUCUGGCAUCGAUGAAGAACGCAGCAAAAUGCGAUAAGUAAUGUGAAUUGCAGAAUUCAGUGAAUCAUCGAAUCUUUGAACGCACAUUGCGCCCGCCAGUAUUCUGGCGGGCAUGCCUGUUCGAGCGUCAUUUCAACCCUCAAGCCCCCGGGUUUGGUGUUGGGGAUCGGCGAGCCCUUGCGGCAAGCCGGCCCCGAAAUCUAGUGGCGGUCUCGCUGCAGCUUCCAUUGCGUAGUAGUAAAACCCUCGCAACUGGUACGCGGCGCGGCCAAGCCGUUAAACCCCCAACUUCUGAAUGUUGACCUCGGAUCAGGUAGGAAUACCCGCUGAACUUAAGCAUAUCAAUAAGCGGAGGAA
Molecule: ribosomal RNA, 505 nt
Filed under: Nectriaceae sp. bc_sqma_25_2a
Lineage: Eukaryota; Fungi; Ascomycota; Sordariomycetes; Hypocreales; Nectriaceae
Description: eukaryotic LSU rRNA
Rfam family: 5.8S ribosomal RNA (bases 125-278)
Source: RNAcentral